This 468-nucleotide ribosomal RNA is filed under the name uncultured bacterium. RNAcentral describes it as "partial 16S ribosomal RNA". It matches the Rfam family "Bacterial small subunit ribosomal RNA", at positions 28 to 507 of the family's 1533-position model. The record is from RNAcentral.
GACGAACGCUGGCGGGGUGCUUAACACAUGCAAGUCGAACGGAAGGGCCCUGCUUUUGUGGGGUGCUCGAGUGGCGAACGGGUGAGUAACACGUGAGUAACCUGCCCUUGACUUUGGGAUAACUUCAGGAAACUGGGGCUAAUACCGGAUAGGAGCUCCUGCUGCAUGGUGGGGGUUGGAAAGAUUCGGCGGUUGGGGAUGGACUCGCGGCUUAUCAGCUUGUUUGUGGGGUAGUGGCUUACAAAGGCUUUGACGGAUAGCCGGCCUGGGAGGGUGACCGGGCACAUUGGGACUGCGAGAGGGACCAGACUCCUACGGGAGGCAGCAGGGGAGAAUAUUGCACAAUGGCGGGAAGCCUGAUGCAGCAAUGCCGCGUGCGGGAUGACGUCCUUCGGGUUGUAAACAGCUGUCGCCUGUGACGAAGCGUGAGUGACGGUAAUGGGUAAAGAAGCACCGGCUAACUACGUG